Coffea arabica (coffee) is the source of this 458-nucleotide long non-coding RNA. RefSeq lists it as uncharacterized. NCBI's taxonomy places the organism in Eukaryota, Viridiplantae, Streptophyta, Magnoliopsida, Gentianales, Rubiaceae. The record is from RefSeq and is a predicted model, not a curated record.
UCUUUGUACGCAAAAGGAGUCAGACUAACAUUUCACUUUUGCAAGCUUCAUGGACGGCUAGCCACUACAAAAACAACCGAAAACUUCUCAAACAUUUCCUCUACAAACUUCACCUCAAAAAUCUUGCCAAACCUUCAUAGAUUCACCACACAAGCUCAAGACAACUUGGACAAUCACUUGGACAAAGAAAGAGCUGCACAUUCACGGAUCUUCUUGGAGUUUUAGGGGCACCAAAAUCUGACUUUUUAGCACACAAGUAAGGUUUGAACUCGGAAGUAAAAUAGAGAAGCCCUCCUGAUGUAUUUUUGUUUUAGGGUUUGCUAUUACUUUUGGUUAUGCCUUUGAUUUUGGGAUUGUACUUUUGGUAUGGAAAUGUAACCUUUGGACGAAAUGUAUUUUGUAUACCGACGUGUGGUUUGGAGAAUGGAUGACUAUUAUUAAGUUUGAACGUUUCCGCA